This 73-nucleotide transfer RNA is filed under the name Dispira parvispora. It matches the Rfam family "tRNA". From Rfam's summary of the family: Transfer RNA (tRNA) molecules are approximately 80 nucleotides in length. Lineage: Eukaryota; Fungi; Kickxellomycota; Dimargaritomycetes; Dimargaritales; Dimargaritaceae. RNAcentral also lists the same sequence under 2 other names. The record is from Rfam by way of RNAcentral.
GCUUCUUUGGCUCAGUUGGCAGAGCGUCCGCCUAGUAAGCGGAAGGUCGUCAGUUCGAUUCUGGCAAGAAGCA